UCUAAUUGUAAUUCCUACCCAUAUCCGA
Molecule: small RNA, 28 nt
Filed under: Bombyx mori (domestic silkworm)
Lineage: Eukaryota; Metazoa; Arthropoda; Insecta; Lepidoptera; Bombycidae
Description: ovarian small RNA-29427
Source: RNAcentral